RNAcentral lists this ribosomal RNA (372 nucleotides) under uncultured organism. RNAcentral describes it as "bacterial SSU rRNA". It matches the Rfam family "Bacterial small subunit ribosomal RNA", at positions 526 to 896 of the family's 1533-position model. The record is from RNAcentral.
CGGAGGGGGCAAGCGUUGUUCGGAAUCAUUGGGCGUAAAGGGCGCGUAGGCGGCCGACCAAGUCGGGUGUGAAAUCCCUCGGCUCAACCGAGGAACUGCAUUCGAUACUGGUUGGCUAGAGUCCGGGAGGGGAUGGUGGAAUUCCCAGUGUAGCGGUGAAAUGCGUAGAUAUUGGGAAGAACACCGGUGGCGAAGGCGGCCAUCUGGACCGGCACUGACGCUGAGGCGCGAAAGCCAGGGGAGCGAAUGGGAUUAGAUACCCCGGUAGUCCUGGCUGUAAACGAUGGGCACUUGAUGUGGCGGGUACUGACCCCCGCCGUGUCGAAGCUAACGCGUUAAGUGCCCCGCCUGGGGAGUACGGUCGCAAGGCUG